CCAAUGAUUGGGAACCAGUUGAGGUUGAUGGAUCUCCUGGUUGCUAAAAUCAAAUACCCAUCUUUGUGCACCUUUUUUAUGUCUCUGGUGGUCGCAAGAGAAGUCUCUUAUUUGGAGGAUCUCUUCUAGUUCAUUUUGAUCCUCGGACAAAUGAAUGAAGCCACCAAAUGGUUGCUAUAACACACUUUUUUGCCGUCCAAAAUAUCUGUCUAACAUUGAUUUGUGUAAAAUACAUAAAA
RNAcentral lists this unclassified non-coding RNA (239 nucleotides) under soil metagenome. RNAcentral's name for it is "partial internal transcribed spacer 1". The record is from RNAcentral.